Molecule: transfer RNA, 91 nt
Filed under: Cellulomonas gelida
Lineage: Bacteria; Bacillati; Actinomycetota; Actinomycetes; Micrococcales; Cellulomonadaceae
Description: tRNA-Arg
Source: RNAcentral
GUCGGAGCCGGAGCGACGAUCCGCUCCGCCUACGGCGCGGUGCGGGUGCGGGAGGCCGCGCGCGGCGUCGUGCAGGUCGACGGCUCCUACG